UAUUUUUGGCACACGGAGGCCGCCCGCCAAGUCUGGUGCCAUUCCGAGUCCCGCGGACGAACUUCGCCCACGCCCCCCACCAAGGCUAUAGCCCACCCCUUUUUUGGCCAUUUUUCCGCUGGGGGGUCUUGGGACCCCGAACUUCGGGGGCUGUUUUUUGGGCGCGGCUGUGCCCGUGGCCUAUUUUUGGCACACGGAGGCCGCCCGCCAAGUCUGGUGCCAUUCCGAGUCCCGCGGACGAACUUCGCCCACGCCCCACACCAAGGCUAUAGCCCACCCGUUUUUUGGCCAUUUUUCUGCUGGGGGGUCUUGGGACCCCGACCUUGGGGGGCUGGUUUUUGGGCGCGGCUGUGCCCGUGGCCUAUUGUUUGCACACGGAGGCCGCCCGCCAAGUCUGGUGCCAUUCCGAGUUCCGCGGACGAACUUCGCCCACGCCCCCCACCAAAGCUAUAGCCCACCCGUUUUUUGGCCAUUUUUCCGCUGGGGGGUCUAGGGACCCCGAACUUCGGGGGCUGUUUUUUGGGCGCGGCUGUGCCCGUGGCCUAUUUUUGGCACACGGAGGCCGCCCGCCAAGUCUGGUGCCAUUCCGAGUCCCGCGGACGAACUUCGCCCACGCCCCCCACCAAGGCUAUAGCCCACCCGUUUUUUGGCCAUUUUUCCGCUGGGGGGUCUUGGGACCCCGACCUUCGGGGGCUUUUUUUUGGGCGCGGCUGUGCCCGUGGCCUAUUUUUGGCACACGGAGGCCGCCCGCCAAGUCUGGUGCCAUUCCGAGUCCCGCGGAUGAACUUCGCCCACGCCCCCCACCAAGGCUAUAGCCCACCCGUCUUUUGGCCAUUUUUCCGCUGGGGGGUCUUGGGACCUCGACCUUCGGGGGCUGGUUUUUGGGCGCGGCUGUGCCCGUGGCCUAUUUUUGGCACACGGAGGCCGCCCGCCAAGUCUGGUGGCAUUCCGAGUCCCGCGGACGAACUUCGCCCACGCCACCCACCAAGGCUAUAGCCCACCCGUUUUUUGGCCAUUUUUCUGCUGGGGGGUCUUGGGACCCCGACCUUGGGGGGCUGGUUUUUGGGCGCGGCUGUGCCCGUGGCCUAUUGUUUGCACACGGAGGCCGCCCGCCAAGUCUGGUGCCAUUCCGAGUCCCGCGGACGAACUUCGCCCUCGCCCCCCACCAAGGCUAUAGCCCACCCGUUUUUUGGCCAUUUUUCCGCUGGGGGGUCUUGGGACCCCGACCUUCGGGGGCUGGUUUUUGGGCGCGGCUGUGCCCGUGGCCUAUUUUUGGCACACGGAGGCCGCCCGCCAAGUCUGGUGCCAUUCCGAGUUCCGCGGACGAACUUCGCCCACGCCCCCCACCAAAGCUAUAGCCCACCCGUUUUUUGGCCAUUUUUCCGCUGGGGGGUCUAGGGACCCCGAACUUCGGGGGCUGUUUUUUGGGCGCGGCUGUGCCCGUGGCCUAUUUUUGGCACACGGAGGCCGCCCGCCAAGUCUGGUGCCAUUCCGAGUCCCGCGGACGAACUUCGCCCACGCCCCCCACCAAGGCUAUAGCCCACCCGUUUUUUGGCCAUUUUUCCGCUGGGGGGUCUUGGGACCCCGACCUUCGGGGGCUUUUUUUUGGGCGCGGCUGUGCCCGUGGCCUAUUUUUUGCACACGGAGGCCGCCCGCCAAGUCUGGUGCCAUUCCGAGUCCCGCGGACGAACUUCGCCCACGCCCCCCACCAAGGCUAUAGCCCACCCGUUUUUUGGCCAUUUUUCCGCUGGGGGGUCUUGGGACCCCGACCUUCGGGGGCUGUUUUUUGGGCGCGGCUGUGCCCGUGGCCUAUUUUUGGCACACGGAGGCCACCCGCCAAGUCUGGUGCCAUUCCGAGUCCCGCGGACGAACUUCGCCCACGUCCCCCACCAAGGCUAUAGCCCACCCGUUUUUUGGCCAUUUUUCUGCUUGGGGGUCUUGGGACCCCGACCUUCGGGGGCUGUUUUUUGGGCGCGGCUGUGCCCGUGGCCUAUUUUUGACACACGGAGGCCGCCCGCCAAGUCUGGUGCCAUUCCGAGUCCCGCGGACGAACUUCGCCCACGCCCCCCACCAAGGCUAUAGCCCACCCGUCUUUUGGCCAUUUUUCCGCUGGGGGGUCUUGGGACCCCGACCUUCGGUUGCUGGUUUUUGGGCGCGGCUGUGCCCGUGGCCUAUUUUUGUUACACGGAGGCCGCCCGCCAAGUCUGGUGCAAUUCCGAGUCCCGCGGACGAACUUCGCCCACGUCCCCCACCAAGGCUAUAGCCCACCCGUUUUUUGGCCAUUUUUCCGCUGGGGGUUCUCGGGACCCCGACCUUCGGGGGCUGUUUUUUGGGUGCGGCUGUGCCCGUGGCCUAUUUUUGGCACACGGAGGCUGCCCGCCAAGUCUAGUGCCAUUCCUAGUCCCGCGGACGAACUUCGCCCACGCCCCCCACCAAGGCUAUAGCCCACCCGUUUUUUGGCCAUUUUUCCGCUGGGGGGUCUUGGGACCCCGACCUUCGGGGGCUGUUUUUUGGGCGCGGCUGUGCCCGUGGCCUAUUUUUGGCACACGGAGGCCGCCCGCCAAGUCUGGUGCCAUUCAGAGUCCCGCGGACAAACUUCGCCCACGCCCCCCACCAAGGCUAUAGCCCACCCGUUUUUUGGCCAUUUUUCUGCUUGGGGGUCUUGGGACCCCGACCUUCGGGGGCUGUUUUUUGGGCGCGGCUGUGCCCGUGGCCUAUUUUUGGCACACGGAGGCCGCCCGCCAAGUCUGGUGCCAUUCCGAGUCCCGCGGACGAACUUCGCCCACGCCCCCCACCAAGGCUAUAUGUCACGGCCCGGAUUGUUCCCACGCUAUGCCGUGCGGCCUUAGGCGCCAAAUUCGCACUCUAUUGGCCCUAAGUCAGCCUUACACCCAAAUCUGUUGCUGGAUUCGAGAAGCGGAAAAAGGAAUCACUCUAACUCACAAAGUAUGGGAGGAAAGAACUUAUAUUGCUCGAUAGAAUGUUUACAAAGCUAUGUGUGCUGGAAUUGUAUAUUGCUUUUUGAUUGAUUUGGCCAAAUGAGGCCUUCUCCGAUUUAUAGGGUACAAAGAAGUAUCUAGAGAGUCUCUAGAGUUACAUAAACACAUUAAUUACAAUGGAAAUAUCUACAUGCUCUACACAAGUCUCCAUGGCUCUAGAAUUCUCCAUGGGCCAGGCCAUGUGGAAGCUUGGGCCAUGACAUUCUCCCCCACCUAUUCCGGAGACGUCCUCGUCGACUCGCUGUGGAAGGCUUUGAUCUUGUCUUGGAACUGCCACAAAUCAUAUGCGGGCUCCCAACUUGUUUCGCUCUCGGGUAGUCCCUUCCAUUUGACAAAGUACUCUUGGCAUGGUGGAAAACUCUUCUUCCAAACCACACGGUCAGCCAAAAUGGCCUCCACUUCUUUGUCAUAGACCCUUGUGUUGCCCAGUGGAGGGCGCUUGGAUUCUCCCCUUUUCGGAUCUUCCGUAUCCCCAUGGAAUGGCUUCAAGGAACUCACGUGGAAGACCGGAUGGAGUUUUCGCCAAGAGGGUAACUCUAACUUGUACGACACAUUGCCGACCCUCUUGAUGAUGGGAAAUGGCCCCUCGUAUUUCCGGAUGAGGCCCUUGUGCAGCGAACGUGUGGACUUGUGCUGGGCUGGAACGAUCUUGACUAGCACCAUGUCCCCCACGUUGAACUCCAAGUGUCUACGCUUGCUAUCUGCCCAUUUCUUCAUCCGCUUGGUUGCUUUGUCGAGGUGCGCCCGUGCUAUGUCUGUUUGCUCAUGCCAUGACUUAGCCACUUUAUAUGCUGCAGGACACCUCCCGGUAUAGCUCGUGAUGAGCGUGUGUGGUGUAAGCGGCUGCUGUCCCAUGAUCACCUCAAAAGGGCUCCUCGAUGUAGCCUCACUCCGCUGCAAGUUGUAGGAAAAUUGGGCCACGUCCAGCAACUUUGCCCAGUCAUGCUGGUUGGCGCUCACAAAAUGCCGUAAGUACAGCUCCAACAAGGCAUUCACCCUCUCCGUUUGCCCAUCGGUUUGCGGAUGAAAGCUCGUAGAAAAGUGCAGCACCGACCCCAUAAGCUUGAACAACUCAGUCCAAAACCUCCCCGUAAACCGGCUGUCGCGGUCGCUAAUGAUGGAUUUCGGAAGUCCCCAAUACUUCACCACGUGCCUAAAGAAAAACUUGGCUGUGUCCUCCGCUGUGCACUCCUUCGGGGCAGGAAUGAAAGUGGCAUAUUUCGAGAAUCUGUCCACCACCACAACAAUAGUCGCAAACCCCUCCGAUUUUGGAAGACAAGUGAUGAAAUCCAUCGAUAUACUCUCCCACGGUCGAUCCGGAGUGGGCAGUGGCUCAAGCAACCCCGCGGGACAUUGUUGCUCUGUUUUGUCUUGUUGGCACACUAAGCACGUCCGCACGAACUGCUCCACUUCAUCCCGCAUCUGAGGCCAAUAGUAUGCCGACUCAAGCAAUGCCCGUGUCCGCCUUUGUCCCGGGUGUCCAGCCCACUUCGUAUCAUGACACUCCUUGAUCAAGUUCCGCCGCAAGUUUCCCCACUUCGGAACAUAGACACGCCGUCCCUUGGUGUAUAAAAGGCCAUCUUCGACCCAAAACCUCUUCGAUUUCCCCUGUUGUACGAGAGAAACCAGCUGCUUGGCCAAGGGAUCAUGCUCCGUCCCCUCCUUGAUGAGUGUAAGAAGCUCUCCUUGUAUCCGACUCAUGGCAGCAAGCUCGACCUUCCGACUCAAGGCGUCCGCUACCAAAUUAGCCUUUCCGGGCUUAUACUCCAGCACGUAGUCGAAUUCGGCCAAGAAAUCUUGCCAUCUCGCUUGCUUGGGACUAAGCUUCUUUUGGCUUUGGAAGUAACUAGUGGCCACGUUGUCCGUCUUCACCACGAACUUGGACCCAAGCAAGUAGUGCCUCCAUGUGCGCAAGCAGUGCACUACUGCCGUCAUCUCCUUCUCUUGUACCGUGUACCGCCGCUCCGUAUCGUUGAGCUUUCGGCUCUCAAAGGCUAUUGGAUGUUCGGCCUGCAUCAACACACCUCCAAUAGCAAAAUCGGAAGCAUCAGUGUGUACCUCAAAUGGUAAGUCAUGGUUUGGCAGCACAAGUACCGGCUCUUCCAUCACGGCCUUCUUGAGGGCAUCGAAGGCUUGCUGGCUCCUUUCCGUCCAUUCCCACUUGGUAGUCUUUUUGAGCAAAUCAGUGAGUGGUGCGGCAAUGGCGGAAUAACCUCUAAUGAACCUCCGAUAAUAGUUGGCAAGUCCUAAGAAAGAGCGCAACUCAGUCACCUUUGUGGGCGGCUCCCAUUCGGCAAUGGCUCGGACCUUGGCCUUGUCCAUGAGCAGCGUCCCAUCUCUGAUUUUAUGGCCAAGAAAAUCCACCUCCAGUUUUGCGAACGAACACUUCUCCCUCUUCACAUACAGCUCAUUUUCCCGCAACACCCCGAACACGACCCACAAGUGCUCAGCAUGUUCCGCCAAGGUGUUGCUAUAGACCACGAUGUCAUCAAGAUACACCACUACAAACUGAUCAAGGUAUGGCUGGAAUAUGCGGUUCAUGAGCGUGCAAAAUGUGGCUGGAGCAUUGGUGAGGCCGAAAGGCAUUACCUUGAACUCGUACGCUCCAUACCUCGUCACACAAGCGGUCUUCGGCUCAUCUCCCUCCGCAAUCCGUACUUGGUAAUAUCCCGAUCUAAGGUCCAGCUUGGAGAAAUAUUUGGCCCGUCCAAGUUGAUCGAACAAGUCCGCAAUCAGUGGGAUGGGGUAUUUGUUCUUCACGGUCACCUUGUUAAGAGCCCGGUAGUCGAUACAUAGUCGAAGUGAGCCAUCAUGCUUCCGCUGGAACAGCACCGGUGCUCCGUAUGGUGCUUUCGAGGGCUGGAUGUAUCCUGCGUCCAGCAGCUCCUUAAUUUGCCUCCGCAACUCCUCUAGCUCCGGUGGAGACAUGCGGUAAGGUGCUCGUGCAGGCGGUUUGGCACCCGGCUCCAGCUCAAUCUUGGAUGUUGGUGGCCUCGAAGUACCUCUCCAUGGACCACAAGAAGUUCUCGAUCUCCUGGGCAUCCCUCAAGGACUUGGCCUACCGCCUCCGGUAUGGGCUCCAUGGCCAUAGUGUCCUUCCCGUCACCAACCUCAUGAAUGGCCACCGCCUUCUUGCAAAGCGCCCAAUCCAUCUUAGUCUCUUCAAGGCCCGUGUGAAGCUCCUCCACUUGAGCCCUGAGCGCCUCAAUAGAGUUCAGAACCACCGCUUGGAACUCCUCAAGGCUUUGGCGUUGCGCCACCACAUCUUGGCUUAGAUCGCCCAUCCGCUCACCAAGAUCAUCCACCUCCUCCAUCUUUUGCUCAAAGAUCUCGAGGCGUUCUUUAAUCUCAGCGACAGAAAUCUCCCCACAGACAAUCCGAUUCUCCAUGGCGUUGAGCAAGUCCACUGACUUCUCCUUGCUGUUUUUCCCCUUCUUCGUAUUGGGGUUAGGCUCCCUUCCCCUUUGGUCAUCAUGAGUGCUCUCUGACAUCCUUCCUUUCGAACAACGCAACUACCCACGAGUGUAGACGGCUCUGAUACCAACUGUCACGGCCCGGAUUGUUCCCACGCUAUGCCGUGCGGCCUUAGGCGCCAAAUUCGCACUCUAUUGGCCCUAAGUCAGCCUUACACCCAAAUCUGUUGCUGGAUUCGAGAAGCGGAAAAAGGAAUCACUCUAACUCACAAAGUAUGGGAGGAAAGAACUUAUAUUGCUCGAUAGAAUGCUUACAAAGCUAUGUGUGCUGGAAUUGUAUAUUGCUUUUUGAUUGAUUUGGCCAAAUGAGGCCUUCUCCUAUUUAUAGGGUACAAAGAAGUAUCUAGAGAGUCUCUAGAGUUACAUAAACACAUUAAUUACAAUGGAAAUAUCUACAUGCUCUACACAAGUCUCCAUGGCUCUAGAAUUCUCCAUGGGCCAGGCCAUGUGGAAGCUUGGGCCAUGACAUAUAGCCCACCUGUUUUUUGGCCAUUUUUCCGUUGGGGGGUCUUGGGACCCCGACCUUCGGGGGCUGGUUUUUGGGCGCGGCUGUGCCCGUGGCCUAUUUUUGGCACACGGAGGCCGCCCGCCAAGUCUGGUGCCAUUCCGAGUCCCGCGGACGAACUUCGCCCACGCCCCCCACCAAGGCUAUAGCCCACCCGUUUUUUGGCCAUUUUUCCGCUGGGGGGUCUUGGGACCCCGACCUUCGGGGGCUUUUUUUUUGGCGCGGCUGUGCCCGUGGCCUAUUUUUGGCACACCGAGUCCGCCCGCCAAGUCUGGUGCCAUACCGAGUCCCGCGGACGAACUUCGCCCACGCCCCCCACCAAGGCUAUAGCCCACCCGUUUUUUGGCCAUUUUUCCGCUGGGGGGUCUUGGGACCCCGACCUUCGGGGGCUGUUUUUUGGGCGCGGCUGUGCCCGUAGCCUAUUGUUGGCACACGGAGGCCGCCCGCCAAGUCUGGUGCCAUUCCGAGUCCCGCGGACGAACUUCGCCCACGCCCCCCACCAAGGCUAUAGCCCACCCGUUUUUUGGCCAUUUUUCCACUGGGGGGUCUUGGGGCCCCGACCUUCGGGGGCUGUUUUUUUGGCGCGGCUGUGCCCGUGGCCUAUUUUUGGCACACGGAGGCCGCCCGCCAAGUCUGGUGCCAUUCCGAGUCCCGCGGACGAACUUCGCCCACGCCCCCCACCAAGGCUAUAGCCCUCCCGUUUUUUGGCCAUUUUUCCGCUGGGGGGUCUUGGGACCCCGACCUUCGGGGGCUGUUUUUUGGGCGCGGCUGUGCCCGUGGCCUAUUUUUGGCACACGGAGGCCGCCCGCCAAGUCUGGUGCCAUUCCGAGUCCCGCGGACGAACUUCGCCCACGCCCCCCACCAAGGCUAUAGCCCACCCGUUUUUUGGCCAUUUUUCCGCUGGGGGGUCUUGGGACCCCGACCUUCGGGAGCUGGUUUUUGGGCGCGGCUGUUCCCGUGGCCUAUUUUUGGCACACGGAGGCCGCCCACCAAGUCUGGUGCCAUUCCGAGUCCCGCGGACGAACUUCGCCCACGCCCCCCACCAAGGCUACAGCCCACCCGUUUUUUGGCCAUUUUUCCGCUGGGGGGUCUUGGGACCCCGACCUUCGGGGGCUGCUUUUGGGGCGCGGCUGUGCCUGUGGCCUAUUUUUGGCACACGGACGCCGCCCGGCAAGUCUGGUGCCAUUCCGAGUCCCGCGGACGAACUUCGCCCACGCCCCCCACCAAGGCUAUAGCCCACCCGUUUUUUGGCCAUUUUUCCGCUGGGGGGU
RNAcentral lists this long non-coding RNA (8248 nucleotides) under Citrus x clementina. Its description in RNAcentral is "Citrus clementina (C. clementina) long non-coding RNA (CCLE_LNC005053)". The record is from RNAcentral. Lineage: Eukaryota; Viridiplantae; Streptophyta; Magnoliopsida; Sapindales; Rutaceae.